CCUACGGGGGGCAGCAGUGGGGAAUAUUGGACAAUGGGGGGAACCCUGAUCCAGCGACGCCGCGUGAGUGAAGAAGUAUUUCGGUAUGUAAAGCUCUAUCAGCAGGGAAGAAAGAAAUGACGGUACCUGACUAAGAAGCCCCGGCUAACUACGUGCCAGCAGGCGCGGGAAUACGUAGGGGGCAAGCGUUAGCCGGAUUUACUGGGUGUAAAGGGAGCGUAGACGGCGAUGCAAGUAUGAAGUGAAAGGCGGGGGCCCAACCUCCGGACUGCUUUGGAAACUGUAUGGCUGGAGUGCAGGAGAGGUAAGUGGAAUUCCUAGUGUAGCGGUGAAAUGCGUAGAUAUUAGGAGGAACACCAGUGGCGAAGGCGGCUUACUGGACUGUAACUGACGUUGAGGCUCGAAAGCGUGGGGAGCAAACAGGAUUAGAUACCCUUGUAGUC
RNAcentral lists this ribosomal RNA (443 nucleotides) under uncultured bacterium. RNAcentral's name for it is "partial 16S ribosomal RNA". It matches the Rfam family "Bacterial small subunit ribosomal RNA", at positions 338 to 795 of the family's 1533-position model. The record is from RNAcentral.